AGUGAACGCUGGCGGUAGGCCUAACACAUGCAAGUCGAACGGCAGCACAGUAAGAGCUUGCUCUUACGGGUGGCGAGUGGCGGACGGGUGAGGAAUACAUCGGAAUCUACUUUUUCGUGGGGGAUAACGUAGGGAAACUUACGCUAAUACCGCAUACGACCUACGGGUGAAAGCAGGGGAUCUUCGGACCUUGCGCGAUUGAAUGAGCCGAUGCCGGAUUAGCUAGUUGGCGGGGUAAAGGCCCACCAAGGCGACGAUCCGUAGCUGGUCUGAGAGGAUGAUCAGCCACACUGGAACUGAGACACGGUCCAGACUCCUACGGGAGGCAGCAGUGGGGAAUAUUGGACAAUGGGCGCAAGCCUGACCCAGCCAUACCGCGUGAGUGAAGAAGGCCUUCGGGUCGUAAAGCUCUUUUAUUGGGAAAGAACAGCUGUGUGUUAAUACCUCGCUGUUCUGACGGUACCCAAACAGUAAGCACCGGCUAACUUCGUG
This 492-nucleotide ribosomal RNA is filed under the name uncultured bacterium. RNAcentral's name for it is "partial 16S ribosomal RNA". It matches the Rfam family "Bacterial small subunit ribosomal RNA", at positions 29 to 507 of the family's 1533-position model. The record is from RNAcentral.